This is a long non-coding RNA of Rhinolophus ferrumequinum (greater horseshoe bat), 459 nucleotides long. RefSeq lists it as uncharacterized. The transcript has 3 exons. Lineage: Eukaryota; Metazoa; Chordata; Mammalia; Chiroptera; Rhinolophidae. The record is from RefSeq and is a predicted model, not a curated record.
CCUGGGAACAGCUUGUCAGUGUUUACAAAGCACCUUCUCAUCUCAUCUGAGUCUUCCAACAGCUACGUGAGGAGGAUAGGACACUUACAAUUACUUUUCCCUUGUAACUGAUGCAUCACUAAGAGGAUGAACAGCCAACUUGAAAUUAGCCUGACCCAAGUUAGAAUUCCACCUCUGCGAUUGAGUGACCUUGGGGGCUGCUAACUGUGACCUCCCAGGGACAGCAUGACAUCGAUGUGAACAGAGGGACGUAGUGAACAGCAGAGCUCCUGUGAGGAUGAGGUGACAUGUCGCUGCUGUUUUCUGCCCUCACGUUAUGCUGUGGUGAAGUCGCUCACUGCAAAGAACCUGGGCUCCAGGACACAAAGCCUGCAGGAUACACAUAUCAACGAUGCCCUAGGAGAUGGUGGAGCCACCCGAUGGAAGGAGCCUGGGCAUCAGGAUAGGGAGAGCUGCCCU